AAACCAACUGGGAUUACCUUAGUAACGGCGAGUGAAGCGGUAAAAGCUCAAAUUUGAAAUCUGGUACUUUCAGUGCCCGAGUUGUAAUUUGUAGAAUUUGUCUUUGAUUAGGUCCUUGUCUAUGUUCCUUGGAACAGGACGUCAUAGAGGGUGAGAAUCCCGUUUGGCGAGGAUACCUUUUCUCUGUAAGACUUUUUCGAAGAGUCGAGUUGUUUGGGAAUGCAGCUCAAAGUGGGUGGUAAAUUCCAUCUAAAGCUAAAUAUUGGCGAGAGACCGAUAGCGAACAAGUACAGUGAUGGAAAGAUGAAAAGAACUUUGAAAAGAGAGUGAAAAAGUACGUGAAAUUGUUGAAAGGGAAGGGCAUUUGAUCAGACAUGGUGUUUUUGCAUGCACUCGCCUCUCGUGGGCGUGGGCCUCUCAAAAAUUUCACUGGGCCAACAUCAAUUCUGGCAGCAGGAUAAAUCAUUAAGAAUGUAGCUACUUCGGUAGUGUUAUAGCUUUUUGGAAUACUGUUAGCCGGGAUUGG
Molecule: ribosomal RNA, 526 nt
Filed under: uncultured Hanseniaspora
Lineage: Eukaryota; Fungi; Ascomycota; Saccharomycetes; Saccharomycodales; Saccharomycodaceae
Description: eukaryotic LSU rRNA
Rfam family: Eukaryotic large subunit ribosomal RNA
Source: RNAcentral